Molecule: ribosomal RNA, 612 nt
Filed under: uncultured bacterium
Lineage: Bacteria
Description: bacterial SSU rRNA
Rfam family: Bacterial small subunit ribosomal RNA (bases 1-544)
Source: RNAcentral
CCUACGGGAGGCAGCAGUGGGGAAUUUUGGACAAUGGGCGAAAGCCUGAUCCAGCCAUGCCGCGUGAGUGAAGAAGGCCUUCGGGUUGUAAAGCUCUUUCGGCCGGGACGAAAUCGCACGAGUGAAUAUCGCGUGUGGAUGACGGUACCGGCAGAAGAAGGACCGGCUAACUACGUGCCAGCAGCCGCGGUAAUACGUAGGGUCCGAGCGUUAAUCGGAAUUACUGGGCGUAAAGCGUGCGCAGGUGGUUUUGUAAGCCAGAUGUGAAAGCCCCGGGCUUAACCUGGGAACUGCAUUUGGGACUGCAAGGCUAGAGUACGGCAGAGGGGGGUAGAAUUCCUGGUGUAGCAGUGAAAUGCGUAGAUAUCAGGAGGAAUACCGAUGGCGAAGGCAGCCCCCUGGGUCGAUACUGACGCUCAUGCACGAAAGCGUGGGGAGCAAACAGGAUUAGAUACCCUGGUAGUCCACGCCCUAAACGAUGUCAACUAGUUGUUGGGGGCCUUACCGCCCUUAGUAACGCAGCUAACGCGUGAAGUUGACCGCCUGGGGAGUACGUCGCAGAUAACUACAAGAAGUAGAGCGNGAGAGNGCGAGACGACGACGAGGGAGAGG